RNAcentral lists this ribosomal RNA (497 nucleotides) under uncultured bacterium. Its description in RNAcentral is "partial 16S ribosomal RNA". It matches the Rfam family "Bacterial small subunit ribosomal RNA", at positions 28 to 507 of the family's 1533-position model. The record is from RNAcentral.
GACGAACGCUGGCGGCGUGCCUAAUACAUGCAAGUUGAGUGCUGAAGGUUGGUACUUGUACCAACUGGAUGAGCAGCGAACGGGUGAGUAACGCGUGGGGAAUCUGCCUUUGAGCGGGGGACAACAUUUGGAAACGAAUGCUAAUACCGCAUAAAAACUUUAAACACAAGUUUUAAGUUUGAAAGAUGCAAUUGCAUCACUCAAAGAUGAUCCCGCGUUGUAUUAGCUAGUUGGUGAGGUAAAGGCUCACCAAGGCGAUGAUACAUAGCCGACCUGAGAGGGUGAUCGGCCACAUUGGGACUGAGACACGGCCCAAACGCCUACGGGAGGCAGCAGUAGGGAAUCUUCGGCAAUGGACGAAAGUCUGACCGAGCAACGCCGCGUGAGUGAAGAAGGUUUUCGGAUCGUAAAACUCUGUUGGUAGAGAAGAACGUUGGUGAGAGUGGAAAGCUCAUCAAGUGACGGUAACUACCCAGAAAGGGACGGCUAACUACGUG